GAAUAUUGGACAAUGGGCGAAAGCCUGAUCCAGCCAUGCCGCGUGUGUGAAGAAGGUCUUCGGAUUGUAAAGCACUUUGAGUUGGGAGGAAGGGCGUCAAGCUAAUACCUUGAUGUUUUGACGUUACCAACAGAAUAAGCACCGGCUAACUCUGUGCCAGCGGCCGCGAUAAUACAGAGGGUGCAAGCGUUAAUCGGAAUUACUGGGCGUAACGCGCGCGUAGGUGGUUCAGUAAGAUGGGUGUGAAAUCCCCGGGCUCAACCUGGGAACUGCUUUCAUAACUGCUGAGCUAGAGUACGGUAGAGGGUAGUGGAAUUUCCUGUGUAGCGGUGAAAUGCGUAGAUAUAGGAAGGAACACCAGUGGCGAAGGCGACAUACUGGCUCAUUACUGACGCUGAGGCGCGAAAGCGUGGGGAGCAAACAG
Molecule: ribosomal RNA, 424 nt
Filed under: uncultured bacterium
Lineage: Bacteria
Description: partial 16S ribosomal RNA
Rfam family: Bacterial small subunit ribosomal RNA
Source: RNAcentral